UUGGCAAUACUUUCAGGAAUUAUUUCUAUAGCGUCAGACUCGAGAAGUGUAUACUUGAAAGUGGCUGGCUGAGCGAACCAUGAGGAGUCAAAGUCUGACUGCUAGUUCUGAGCAGGAAGGAAUGGACUGUGGCGCAGUGAUGCACCUCUUGCUUGCGGCUGUUGCCUAAUCCGCCUUCCUUUUAUCCGAAGGCUGGGGGGAAGGGAACAGAGACACUGUGGU
This is a small nucleolar RNA of Lacerta agilis (Sand lizard), 222 nucleotides long. RefSeq annotates it as small nucleolar RNA U3. NCBI's taxonomy places the organism in Eukaryota, Metazoa, Chordata, Lepidosauria, Squamata, Lacertidae. The record is from RefSeq and is a predicted model, not a curated record. The transcript has a single exon.